GAUGAAGAACGCAGCGAAAUGCGAUAAGUAAUGUGAAUUGCAGAAUUCAGUGAAUCAUCGAAUCUUUGAACGCACAUUGCGCCCGCCAGUAUUCUGGCGGGCAUGCCUGUCUGAGCGUCAUUUCAACCCUCAUGCCCCUAGGGCGUGGUGUUAGGGAUCGGCCAAAGCCCGCGAGGGACGGCCGGCCCCUAAAUCUAGUGGCGGACCCGUCGUGGCCUCCUCUGCGAAGUAGUGAUAUUCCGCAUCGGAGAGCGAUGAGCCCCUGCCGUUAAACCCCCAACUUUCCAAGGUUGACCUCAGAUCAGGUAGGAAUACCCGCUGAACUUAAGCAUAUCAAUAAGCGGAGGA
RNAcentral lists this unclassified non-coding RNA (348 nucleotides) under soil metagenome. RNAcentral describes it as "partial contains 5.8S ribosomal RNA, internal transcribed spacer 2, and large subunit ribosomal RNA". The stretch from base 1 to 120 matches the Rfam family "5.8S ribosomal RNA", at positions 35 to 154 of the family's 154-position model. The record is from RNAcentral.